RNAcentral lists this ribosomal RNA (253 nucleotides) under uncultured bacterium. Its description in RNAcentral is "partial 16S ribosomal RNA". It matches the Rfam family "Bacterial small subunit ribosomal RNA", at positions 524 to 776 of the family's 1533-position model. The record is from RNAcentral.
UACGGGGGGUGCGAGCGUUGUCCGGAAUCACUGGGCGUAAAGGGCGCGUAGGUGGUUUGAUAAGGGUGUGGGGAAAGUCCGGGGCUCAACCCCGGAUCUGCCGUGCCGACUGUCAAACUCGAGGGCUGUAGAGGCAGACGGAAUUCCGGGUGUAGCGGUGGAAUGCGUAGAGAUCCGGAGGAAGACCGGUGGCGAAGGCGGAUCUCUGGGCCUUACCUGACGCUCAGGUGCGAAAGCUAGGGGAGCGAACAGG